AUGGGCGGCGAGAUGCCCGGCACCGACGGCAAGGGCCACCCCGCCCCGGCCUCCGCCUCCGCCUCCGGAUUCCCGCCGUCGGCGCCGCCUUAUCAUCAGCAGCAGCACCACCAGUACGGCACCUUCGGGGCCCCGUCCGCGUCCGGCGAGUUCCCGCAGCCGGCGGUCGGGUUCCCCCAGCCUGCUCCGCCGCUUGGGUUCCAGAACUACCCGCCGCCGCCUCCGCCGCCGUCCUACGCGGUAUACCCUCCUCUGCAGGCUUAUUCGGCCGCCGCGCCGUACUACGCCCAUGGCUACCAGGACGUGCAAGGCUUCACUUGCUGCAAUUGCCAUGUUGCUUGGUGCCACAAAAGGAGCAGAGGUGUGGUGAGCUGGCUUUGA
RNAcentral lists this ribosomal RNA (381 nucleotides) under Triticum aestivum (bread wheat). RNAcentral's name for it is "partial small subunit ribosomal RNA". The record is from RNAcentral. Lineage: Eukaryota; Viridiplantae; Streptophyta; Magnoliopsida; Poales; Poaceae.